AGCUCAAUGUUAAGAGUGCUUGCCUGGCAUGCAUGAAGCCCUGGGAUCAAUCCCCAG
This 57-nucleotide transfer RNA is filed under the name Fukomys damarensis (Damara mole-rat). It matches the Rfam family "tRNA", at positions 9 to 63 of the family's 71-position model. From Rfam's summary of the family: Transfer RNA (tRNA) molecules are approximately 80 nucleotides in length. Their secondary structure includes four short double-helical elements and three loops (D, anti-codon, and T loops). Lineage: Eukaryota; Metazoa; Chordata; Mammalia; Rodentia; Bathyergidae. The record is from Rfam by way of RNAcentral.